Molecule: unclassified non-coding RNA, 299 nt
Organism: Aotus nancymaae (Ma's night monkey)
Lineage: Eukaryota; Metazoa; Chordata; Mammalia; Primates; Aotidae
Rfam family: Metazoan signal recognition particle RNA
About the family: The signal recognition particle (SRP) is a universally conserved ribonucleoprotein.
Source: Ensembl
GCCAGGUGGGGUGGCGGGUGCCUGUAGUCCCAGCUACUCGGGAGGCUGAAGUGGGACUAUCGCUUGAGCCCAGGAGUUCUGGGCUGUGGUGCACUAUGCCAAUCGGGUGUCCUCACUAAGUUCAGCAUCAAUAUAAUGACCUCCCGGGAGCGGGGGACCACCAGGUUGCCUAAGGAGGGAUGAACCAGCCCAUUUCUGAAACUGAGCAGGUCAAAACUCCCAUGCCGAUCAGUAGUGGGAUUGUGCCUGUGAAUAGCCACUGCACUCCAGCCUGGGCAACAGAGCGAGACCCCAUCUCU